This 474-nucleotide ribosomal RNA is filed under the name uncultured bacterium. RNAcentral describes it as "bacterial SSU rRNA". It matches the Rfam family "Bacterial small subunit ribosomal RNA", at positions 26 to 518 of the family's 1533-position model. The record is from RNAcentral.
AGGACGAACGCUGGCGGCGUGCUUCAUACAUGCAAGUCGAACGAGAAUCUCUAGCUUGCUAGAGAGGAAAGUGGCGGACGGGUGAGUAAUAUGUAGAGAAUCUGCCCUGGAGAGGGGGACAACAGAGGGAAACUUCUGCUAAUACCCCAUAUGCGCGUAGUUGCGAUACUAUUCGUGAAAGAUUUAUCGCCCCAGGAUGAGUCUGCAUCUGAUUAGCUAGUUGGGGGUGUAAUGGACCACCAAGGCGACGAUCAGUAGCUGGUUUGAGAGGAUGAUCAGCCACAAUGGGACUGAGACACGGCCCAUACUCCUACGGGAGGCAGCAGUAGGGAAUUUUGCGCAAUGGGCGAAAGCCUGACGCAAGCAACGCCGCGUGAUCGUAGACGCCCUUCGGGGUGUAAAGAUCUGUCAGUAGGGACGAACAAUGACUGUACCUACAGAGGAAGCACCGGCUAACUCCGUGCCAGCCGCCGC